This 376-nucleotide unclassified non-coding RNA is filed under the name uncultured Actinomycetes bacterium. RNAcentral's name for it is "uncultured actinobacterium contains 16S-23S intergenic spacer region". The record is from RNAcentral. Lineage: Bacteria; Bacillati; Actinomycetota; Actinomycetes.
UCUCGGCUUAUCACCAGCAGUCCCCUUAGAGUGCCCAACUGAAUGAUGGCAACUAAGGGCGAGGGUUGCGCUCGUUGCGGGACUUAACCCAACAUCUCACGACACGAGCUGACGACAACCACGCACCACCUGCGCAGGACCCUUGUGGACCUCACAUCUCUGUGAGAUUUCCCUGCAUGUCAAGCCUUGGUAAGGUUCUUCGCGUUGCAUCGAAUUAAUCCGCAUGCUCCGCCGCUUGUGCGGGGCCCCGUCAAUUCCUUUGAGUUUUAGCCUUGCGGCCGUACUCCCCAGGCGGGGCACUUAAUGCGUUAGCUACGGCACGGAGUCCGUCGAUAAGACCCCACACCUAGUGCCCAACGUUUACGGCGUGGACUAC